GCAGCCGUGGCGGAAUUGGCAGACGCACCAGACUUAGGAUCUGGCGCCCUCAGGGUGUGGGAGUUCGACUCUCCCCGGCUGUA
RNAcentral lists this transfer RNA (83 nucleotides) under Fidelibacterota bacterium. RNAcentral's name for it is "tRNA-Leu". It matches the Rfam family "tRNA". From Rfam's summary of the family: Transfer RNA (tRNA) molecules are approximately 80 nucleotides in length. Their secondary structure includes four short double-helical elements and three loops (D, anti-codon, and T loops). The record is from RNAcentral. RNAcentral also lists the same sequence under 1 other name. Lineage: Bacteria; Pseudomonadati; Fidelibacterota.